Molecule: long non-coding RNA, 623 nt
Organism: Pseudophryne corroboree (corroboree frog)
Lineage: Eukaryota; Metazoa; Chordata; Amphibia; Anura; Myobatrachidae
Exons: 3
Source: RefSeq, a predicted model, not a curated record
UCAAGACAAUCUGCGAUUGUAUGGCUGAAGUGGACAUACAUAUCUUUACUGGAUGCGGAAAAGGCAAAUUCACUUUGUUUCCAUUUGAUGUUUGUUGUUGUUCUUCGGAGCUGCCUUCUUGGAUCCUUGAUCAGCAUGAAAAGAGGGAGCCUGCCUGGCAUUCCUGGUCUUUUGUACCUCCCAGAUUCUUAAUCACCAUCAAGAUGAGGGGAGUGUGGUUGGCGUCUUGGAGUUGUGUCCAAAAUUUGGAGUGGAGUAACAGAAGAAACUACUGACAAUCUUCGUGGUGGUGUAGCCUGCUGUGGUUUGGACUGGACAUCCGACCUUGCUUUCUUUGGUGGCACAUGUGUCCAUUUUUUGUGUGGGUCAGGAGGGCCUCUUGUGCUGCUCAAGCCUUGUAUUGAGGGACCUAGGAUUUAAGUGUAAAAAUUUGUAUGUCCAUUCCUUUACAAACAUAACCUGUACUACAAUGGGCACUUUACCUGCUUCCGCAGCUUCAUCAUCAUCAGAUGUCAUGGCACUGACUGUAGGGCGAGCAGUUGUGCUUUUUUUCAACACUGUACAUCAUGAAAAAAAUAAAAUAAUUGGAAUUUGGAUAAUGCAUUUGUUCAACAUUUGAGCCA